This 70-nucleotide transfer RNA is filed under the name Nassarius granifer. Its description in RNAcentral is "Nassarius graniferus tRNA-Glu". The record is from RNAcentral. Lineage: Eukaryota; Metazoa; Mollusca; Gastropoda; Neogastropoda; Nassariidae.
CAUUUCUAAUAAAACAAUUCUUUUAUUCCUUUAGAAUGAAAAUCUAAUGUGCACUUUACACCAUAGAAAC